RNAcentral lists this ribosomal RNA (459 nucleotides) under uncultured bacterium. RNAcentral describes it as "partial 16S ribosomal RNA". It matches the Rfam family "Bacterial small subunit ribosomal RNA", at positions 338 to 795 of the family's 1533-position model. The record is from RNAcentral.
CCUACGGGGGGCAGCAGUGAGGAAUAUUGGUCAAUGGACGAGAGUCUGAACCAGCCAAGUAGCGUGAAGGAUGACUGCCCUAUGGGUUGUAAACUUCUUUUAUAUGGGAAUAAAAUGUUCCACGUGUGGUUCAUUGAGAGUACCCUAAGAAAAAGCAUCGGCUAACUCCGUGCCAGCAGCCGCGGUAAUACGGAGGAUGCGAGCGUUAUCCGGAUUUAUUGGGUUUAAAGGGUGCGCAGGCGGAGGUGCAAGUCAGCGGUCAAAUUGCGGGGCUCAACCCCGUACUGCCGUUGAAACUGCAUCCCUUGAGUGCGCGAGAAGUAUGCGGAAUGCGUGGUGUAGCGGUGAAAUGCAUAGAUAUCACGCAGAACUCCGAUUGCGAAGGCAGCAUACCGGCGCGCAACUGACGCUCAUGCACGAAAGCGUGGGUAUCGAACAGGAUUAGAUACCCUUGUAGUC